Molecule: ribosomal RNA, 510 nt
Filed under: uncultured bacterium
Lineage: Bacteria
Description: partial 16S ribosomal RNA
Rfam family: Bacterial small subunit ribosomal RNA
Source: RNAcentral
GACGAACGCUGGCGGCGUGCUUAACACAUGCAAGUCGAACGAAGAGCGAUGGAAGCUUGCUUCUAUCAAUCUUAGUGGCGAACGGGUGAGUAACGCGUAAUCAACCUGCCCUUCAGAGGGGGACAACAGUUGGAAACGACUGCUAAUACCGCAUACGAUCUAAUCUCGGCAUCGAGGAUAGAUGAAAGGUGGCCUCUACAUGUAAGCUAUCACUGAAGGAGGGGAUUGCGUCUGAUUAGCUAGUUGGAGGGGUAACGGCCCACCAAGGCGAUGAUCAGUAGCCGGUCUGAGAGGAUGAACGGCCACAUUGGGACUGAGACACGGCCCAGACUCCUACGGGAGGCAGCAGUGGGGAAUCUUCCGCAAUGGACGAAAGUCUGACGGAGCAACGCCGCGUGAGUGAUGACAGCCUUCGGGUUGUAAAGCUCUGUUAAUCGGGACGAAAGGCCUUCUUGCGAACAGUUAGAAGGAUUGACGGUACCGGAAUAGAAAGCCACGGCUAACUACGUG